This 434-nucleotide ribosomal RNA is filed under the name uncultured bacterium. Its description in RNAcentral is "partial 16S ribosomal RNA". It matches the Rfam family "Bacterial small subunit ribosomal RNA", at positions 29 to 507 of the family's 1533-position model. The record is from RNAcentral.
AGCGAACGCUGGCGGCAGGCCUAACACAUGCAAGUCGAACGAACCUUUCGGGGUUAGUGGCGGACGGGUGAGUAACACGUGGGAACGUGCCUUUAGGUUCGGAAUAACUCAGGGAAACUUGUGCUAAUACCGAAUGUGCCCUUCGGGGGAAAGAUUAAUCGCCUUUAGAGCGGCCCGCGUCUGAUUAGCUAGUUGGUUGAGGUAAUGGCUCACCAAGGCGACGAUCAGUAGCUGGUCUGAGAGGAUGAUCAGCCACAUUGGGACUGACACACGGCCCAAACUCCUACGGGAGGCAGCAGUGGGGAAUCUUGCGCAAUGGGCGAAAGCCUGACGCAGCCAUGCCGCGUGAAUGAUGAAGGUCUUAGGAUUGUAAAAUUCUUUCACCGGGGACGAUAAUGACGGUACCCGGAGAAGAAGCCCCGGCUAACUUCGUG